This 2756-nucleotide long non-coding RNA is filed under the name Homo sapiens (human). RNAcentral describes it as "ZNF8 divergent transcript, transcript variant 3 (ZNF8-DT)". The record is from RNAcentral. Lineage: Eukaryota; Metazoa; Chordata; Mammalia; Primates; Hominidae.
ACUCGUGGGCAGGAAGCAAGGGCGGACCCCGAGAGAUGACUGAUUGUGGGGGUGGGGACCGUCUGCUCCUCCUAAUGGCUGGGGACCGUGCACGUCUGCGCGGGCCGGACCUGCUCUUCUCGGGAACUUGCGCGGGAGGAGGCCCGGAGCUGCGCCGCUUUACCCUCUGCUCCCCGGUGCCUAAAACGCACACGCAUCAAAGUCACAGGACGAGUUAGAGAGCCUGGCUCUGUUGCCCAGGCUGAAGUGAAGUGGCAUUAUCUUGGCUAACUGCAACUCCACCUCCCAGGUUCAAGUGAUCCUCCUGCCUCAGCCUCCUGAGUAGCUGGGAUUACAGGAGAAAGGCAGAGGGAGAUUUGAAACACAGAGGAGGUGAUGAGAAGACACAGCAGAAGAUAUCUGAAGACUGGAAAGAAUGCUGCAACCAACAGGAGAAGGAAAAGACAGAAAUGUGUUUUCCAUUUGGAGCAUCCAGAGGGAGCACAACCAUAUCAACACCUUGAUUUUGAUCCAGUGACAUUGAUUUUGGACUUGUGGCCUCCAGAACUUUUAGAGAAUAAAUUUGCAUUGUUUUAAGCCAACAGGUUGGUGGAAAUUUUUUACAGCAGCCACAGGAAGCAAACACAGACUCCUAACUGGUGCUUAGUCCUAGAAUAUCAGUUUCUGUUCCACUUCUGGAUCUCAUAAUUGCAUCUCAGACAUCAACACUGACUUCAUAUUCUUAAUGCACCAAUUCUACCAUUUCUUCAGGCUGCAAACAGAGAAAAACUUAUUUAAGCAUUCCAGAAUUGACCCAAUAGAAGACUCUCCAGAAAAGACUGCAUGGUCUCUGAAGCAGCAUGAUCAGCAUGACUGGCUGCAUCUGGGCUCCACCGUUUGCCACUUCAGACAGGUCCUUAGCCUCUUAGAGGUUCAUUUUCCUUGCUGUAGCCCGGAGUAAGAAUGUUUAGCCUACAAGAUUUAUUUUGAGGCAUCAAUGAAUCACUAUGUGAGCCUCACACAGUGUCUGGCACUGAUAUUACAAAAUAUGGUUGAUCUUGCCAUCCUUGUUAUUGUCCUGGUGGGGAUUCCUCUCUGUUGAAGAUACGGAGCCUCUAAAAAUGAGUGGCAGAGGCUCCCAGCUCAGGAUCCUUGUCCAGGUCCUAAAGAUCCUCCACUCUGCUUGUCACUCUGUUCAUUAUGUUUGCAUGGCCACCACGGUCAACACUACUGCGGCCUACCUCAAGUUCUCAUGCCUCACUCUCUGAGCUCAUGAGGACACAAGGAUCCUUUGGCAACACAUUAACUACACUCUGUGGCCAUCCCUUGACUUCUGAGAGGAUGUUUCCCUCCUCUCAAUCAAAAGCUCUCUUCCCUCCUGGGCAAGAUCCUUGCAUGCACCCAGCACCCUCACACCUGGUGCCCUCACACCCAGCACUCUCACACGUGGUGCCCUCACACCCAGCACCCUCACACCCAGCACCCUCACACCUGGUGCCCUCACACCCAGCACCCUCACACCUGGUGCCCUCACACCCAGCACCCUCACACCUGGUGCCCUCGCACCCAGCACCCUCACACCUGGUGCCCUCGCACCCAGCACCCUCACACCUGGUGCCCUCGCAACCAGCACCCUCACACCUGGUGCCCUCACACCCAGUGCCCUCACACCCAGCACUCUCACACUUGCACUGUCCUCAUCCCAACUCUGUGGUUCCUCUGGGGAAUCACUGUGGAAUCCCUCAUGGGAGGAUGUUUUCAAAAGAAACAACAGCCCAAUGAAGGGUAUUUGAGGAUGAGAAGCAGGAAAGAAGUCAGUGGGUGGCUGAGUUGUGUCCAGGUUUUGCGUGGCCAUGGAAAAUCAGGUGAAGGACAUUAAAUAUCUUGCAGUGGCUUCUCCAUUAGGAGCAUGAAAUGAGGAAAGGGGCUGUCCUCACAGGCCAGCCAAGAGGGAUGCCUAUGCCAAACAGAAAGACUGACAGUAAACAGAAUCCAGGAUGACAUGACUGAGGUAUGGUGUGCAGGGCAUGGCCCAGGGAGGAGGGUAGAUAAGUAAGCCUGGGUGCACCUUCAGAGGAAGAAAUAACAGAGGCUGCAGGCGAGAGAGUUACAAGGAAGGAGGAGCAGGAAGACACGAGAAAAAUUCAGAUAAACUCAACAUCUCCAGCCUGGGGGAAACGUGAGAGGGUGGUAUGAAGAUACACACGAUGCAUGUUGCUUAGUGAAAGCAGCCAGUCGGAAAAGGCUACGUAGUGAAUGACCCCAACUAUGACAUUCUGAAAAAGGCAAAACUAUGGAGACAGGAUAAAGAUCAGUGGUUGCCAGUGAGGCAGGAGAAUAGGGUCUGGGGGCAGGGAGCCUAAGGCUGAUUCAUGCUGACUUCAUGAACGGAAUCAAAAGGAAAACCCUAAAUUUCCAUGCCCACGUAACAAAAGGAUCAGAGGCUACUCCCUUUGCAACUCCCCCCAACUUUCUGUGUUGCAGAUGAAAAAUGGAAAGUGCCUCGGAUUGGUCCCCUCCUGCAACCAGUCAGACAUCUGCAUAGAGCGUAACUUUGUAACUUCACUUCAGCCUCUGCUUGGUCACCUUCCACAACCAAUCAGACUGGUCAUGGGCCACUAUUUCAUAGGGUGUAAACCAAGUGACCAAUGGGAAACAUCUAGAGGGUAUUUAAACCCCAGAAAAUUCUGCGACCAGUGCUUUUGAGCCUUGCUUGGGCCUGCUCCCACUCUGUGAAGUGCAUUUUUGUUUCAAUACAGCUAUGCUUUUGUUGCUUC